RNAcentral lists this transfer RNA (62 nucleotides) under Plakobranchus ocellatus. RNAcentral describes it as "tRNA-Gly". The record is from RNAcentral. Lineage: Eukaryota; Metazoa; Mollusca; Gastropoda; Plakobranchidae.
CUUUAGUUAGUAUAAUCGUACAUUUACCUUCCAAGUAAAAAGUCUACAAUGUAGCCUAAAGA